UCGCCCCCGAGGCGGAUGCGCCGGCCGGACCAGCGGAUUCGCGGGUCGGGGUCACGCUGGUCACUCUGUCCCUGAUCUAACCCAGGGAUGCCUAGUGAUUCAACAGUGUACGUCCCAGAAGCGAAACUAACAAGAGCACGUAAGAGAAAACAGAGGAUCCCAAAAUGAAGACACUUGCUCAAGUUCACACAGCUGUUAAGUGGAUGACAAGGGGCCAGACUUCUAAGGUGCAGAUUGUCCCUGUAGAAUGGGAAGAAGACAUGAGUGGACAAAACGACUUAGGUAUUAUAGUCACAUUUCCUUCUAGGAGCUGGGCCUUCAUUUCCCAUCAGUGGUAUUUAUCAGCCUCGAGACAAAGCCCACUCUUCUCAUCUAGCGAGUUGCCUUCAUAUCUGUGAGAGAGGCCCACGUGAACUGAAUUUCAUGGAUUGCGGUGGGAAUUAAAGCUGAGUCCUGACUCUUAGUUCAUGAAAAAUUAUCUGUGCAUGGACUGGCUCUGUGGCUGGUACAAAAAGAAACUUUCAAAAGAGAACAAAGAAAGCGUCAAAAGAAUAAGUGUGUAACUUCCCAAGAGACCCUGACUUGUUUCCCUUUGUUUUUUUCUAUCACCACACUGGUUUCCCUAGAGGACAUUGACGUUGACAGAGAAAGACCAAAGGAAUCUUUGUGACUUCAUCCAAAUGUCACAGCAAGAGACCAUGGCUUUCAAAGAGGUUUAGCUGCAUCAGAUCACCUGGAGGACUCGUGACAGCACAGAUUGCCGGGCGUCACCAGAAUUUCUGAUUGCAAACUUCUGGUGGGAAGAGACAAUUUCUUAUACUACUAAUUUCCUGAAGAAAAAUGUCUCAAUGUCCUAAACACCUUGCAGUCUGUGGGACAGGCUGUUUAAAUAGCACGAGUGAAGUGGAGAUUUGGCAAUCGGUGAUUCACAUGUGGAGGAUGAAACAUGAAGAGGGUGAACAGAAAAUGUGGCGGAGAGGCUGAGUUUCUACCACUGUUACACAGGAAAAAAAGACAGGAAGUAAGCGAUCAGGAAAUGCAGUAACAAUAGCCUUUUCCUGGAAGAGUGGCUCUGAAGCGAUGACUAAAGGUCCAGACAUGCUGGGUUUAACUGGCAGAGCCCAAGACCAGGGGCCACCGUGGAGAGAGGGGCAGAGGUUUAUUUGUGGGUUGGACCCAGAAGCAAAGGAACUCAAUACUGAGAAAGGACCAGGAGAAAAAUGAAUUAAUGAAGUCUCUGCAAAGCUCUGAGUGAAGAAUGCUAUGGUGGCCAUCCAUGGUCUGCCCUGCCCAGUGCCCUUCAUCCACACACACAGUAAAUCUCUUGCUUUUGGAAACCACAUCUCUCUGAUACUGAUCUUAUGGUUUGGAUGGAGAUGGCACUACUCCCUGGCUCUACUGGGGACUCAACUCCAACCACUGAGAACACCACAUCUUUCUGGCCAUGGUAACUAAUUCUGGGGUGGGCCCUUGACUAAUGCCAGAUGAAACAGAGACAAGCCUGAACAUCUUGUUCAAAUUCUUGGGAGAGAGAUCAUUUCUUUCUGUUGGGAUUGCUAAGCUGGCAGAAUGUACACCUAGAGCUGCUGGAAACCAUCUUGCCACCACAGAAGGAGAACCUGCCGCAGAAGGAAGCCAACAUAAA
Equus asinus (donkey) is the source of this 1645-nucleotide long non-coding RNA. The record is from Ensembl. Lineage: Eukaryota; Metazoa; Chordata; Mammalia; Perissodactyla; Equidae.